Molecule: ribosomal RNA, 370 nt
Filed under: uncultured bacterium
Lineage: Bacteria
Description: partial 16S ribosomal RNA
Rfam family: Bacterial small subunit ribosomal RNA
Source: RNAcentral
CCUACGGGAGGCAGCAGUGGGGGAUAUUGCACAAUGGGGGGAACCCUGAUGCAGCGACGCCGCGUGGGUGAAGAAGCGCCUCGGCGCGUAAAGCCCUGUCAGCAGGGAAGAAAAUGACGGUACCUGAAGAAGAAGCCCCGGCUAACUACGUGCCAGCAGCCGCGGUACUACGGAGGGGGCACGCGUUAUCCGGAUUUACUGGGUGUAAAGGGGGCGCAGCGGGCUAUGAAAGACAGGAGUGAAAGCCCGGGGCACAACGGCGGGACUGCUCUUGCAACUGCUGGGCUGGAGUGCAGGCGAGGUAGGCGGAAUGCGUGGUGUAGCGGGGAAAUGCGUAGAUAUCAGGAGGAACACCGGUGGCGAAGGCGGC